Small nucleolar RNA from Apodemus sylvaticus (European woodmouse), 195 nucleotides. RefSeq annotates it as small nucleolar RNA SNORA74. The transcript has a single exon. NCBI's taxonomy places the organism in Eukaryota, Metazoa, Chordata, Mammalia, Rodentia, Muridae. The record is from RefSeq and is a predicted model, not a curated record.
CCCAGCAGUUGUCAGCUGUCCAGGCUGUGUGGUGCCUGUGAUUGUGUUACACUGUUGGAAGAGUAAGUGCUGCUUUGUUAAGGGUUGGCUCCGAGCGCUGUUUUGGUGUCGGGGCUGAGCACCUUCAGGCAGUGUUGCAUCCCUGAGAGUGGAAUGACUCUUUGUGGCGUUGUUCCUAGUCUAGAUGCAAACAGU